RNAcentral lists this transfer RNA (75 nucleotides) under Rubrobacter xylanophilus. RNAcentral's name for it is "tRNA-Leu". It matches the Rfam family "tRNA". From Rfam's summary of the family: Transfer RNA (tRNA) molecules are approximately 80 nucleotides in length. Their secondary structure includes four short double-helical elements and three loops (D, anti-codon, and T loops). The record is from RNAcentral. Lineage: Bacteria; Bacillati; Actinomycetota; Rubrobacteria; Rubrobacterales; Rubrobacteraceae.
GGGGGCGUAGCCCAAUUGGCAGAGGCAGAGGACUUAAAAUCCUCAAAGUGUGGGUUCGAGUCCCACCGCCCCUAC